UUUCGGAUAACGGAUCCUUCUAAUCCAGUCUAUCUAAUGUCUUUUUCAGGAGCCAGAGGAAAUGCAUCUCAAGUACACCAAUUAGUAGGUAUGAGAGGAUUAAUGUCGGACCCUCAAGGACAAAUGAUUGAUUUACCUAUUCAAAGCAAUUUACGCGAGGGACUUUCUUUGACAGAAUAUAUAAUUUCCUGCUAUGGAGCCCGCAAAGGGGUUGUAGAUACUGCUGUGCGAACAGCAGAUGCUGGAUAUCUUACACGUAGACUUGUUGAAGUAGUUCAACAUAUUAUUGUGCGUAGAAGAGAUUGUGGUACUAUCCGAGGUAUUUCUGUAAGUCCUCAAAAUGGGAUGACGGAAAAACUUUGUGUCCAAACACUAAUUGGUCGUGUAUUAGCAGACGAUAUAUAUAUCAGUUCACGAUGCAUUGCCGCGCGAAAUCAAGAUAUUGGAAUUGGAUUAGUCAAUCGAUUCAUAACUGCCUUUCGAGCACAACCAUUUCGAGCACAACCAAUAUAUAUUAGAACCCCCUUUACUUGCCGAAGCACUUCUUGGAUCUGUCAAUUAUGCUAUGGCCGGAGUCCUACUCAUAGUGAUCUGGUCGAAUUGGGAGAAGCUGUAGGUAUUAUUGCAGGUCAAUCAAUUGGGGAGCCAGGGACUCAACUAACAUUAAGAACUUUUCAUACUGGUGGAGUAUUCACAGGGGGUACUGCCGACCUUGUACGAUCCCCUUCGAAUGGAAAAAUAAAAUUCAAUGAGAAUUUGGUUCACCCCACACGUACCCGUCAUGGGCAGCCUGCUUUUCUAUGUUAUAUAGACUUGCAUGUAACUAUUCAGAGUCAAGAUAUUCUAUAUAGUGUGAAUAUUCCCUCAAAAAGCUUGAUUCUAGUGCAAAAUGAUCAAUAUGUAAAAUCCGAACAAGUACUUUCGAUAGGACCAGUUGACAAUUGA
Molecule: ribosomal RNA, 945 nt
Filed under: Triticum aestivum (bread wheat)
Lineage: Eukaryota; Viridiplantae; Streptophyta; Magnoliopsida; Poales; Poaceae
Description: partial small subunit ribosomal RNA
Source: RNAcentral